RNAcentral lists this long non-coding RNA (1464 nucleotides) under Carica papaya (papaya). RNAcentral's name for it is "long non-coding RNA (CPAP_LNC015323)". The record is from RNAcentral. Lineage: Eukaryota; Viridiplantae; Streptophyta; Magnoliopsida; Brassicales; Caricaceae.
UGUUAGGAAUAUUAGAAUUUAUUUUCAAGUAGAAAAAAAAUCACAAAUCCGAAUCUAACAUUGAAACAUCACUCAACUUUGCAUGAACAAUCACACUGAGUUGCAGAGAAAACUCUUCAAAAUUUCAACAAUUCUUUCAUGUGAUUUAGCUUCAUAGAUUAAUUUGCAUUUAUCAGGUAAGAUGGGUGAUAUUUUAGGUUAUACAAAAGUGGCCUUCAUAGAUUAAUUUGCAUAUAGUAAACUCUUUUAAAAAUAAAAACUAAGUGUUGUUUUAAAUGGAUAGAAUGAGUGAGUUUAUUUGCAUUUUUGUGCUGAUUUUUAUUUAUUGAUUUUAUGAGUUUUAACAUUUAAUUAUUAUAUUGAUUUAAUGGCAAUUAAAUGAAGAAUAAUUAUUAGCAAAAUAGGAAGAAAAUGACGAAAAACAUAAGCUCAUGAAUAAUUUAUUUUUAUUUUAAUGCCACCAUCACAAUUACCUUACCCAAUUUUUAUCUCAUAAUACACUUAACGAUUUUACAAUUGAACUUUUAUAAAUUUCUAUUUUUUUCCCCAUUUUUAUUAAAUUUUCUUUCUCGGUUCUUCCCAAAGAUCUCAAAAUCUCCAACUGUCCAAUCAAUGGGAAAGUCCCCAUGCUGGGCCCUUGGCCUAACAAGGUUUCGUGAAGGCUCCUCGGCAUGAUUUCAUGUCGGUCGAACCAGCACGGCCAGCUGGCCUAUUGCACAAGCAACUGGCCCAAGGAAAAUAGACUCUGUGGAAUGGCACACUGCCAGUUUUCCAUCUUUGGCAUUCACAGAUGCAAAUAUCAUCUCUGCACCCUCUGACUUGGCAUAUGCAUUUCUACACCACGCCAGAGAAGUCCUAGGCCAUUCUGGGUGCUCGAAGAAAUGUCCCUUCCAUGAACUAGUACUGUAGAACAACACUACAUAACCAUAGGGCACUUUGAUGCCCGACAUUCUGAUCAGAAACAUAUGAACUUCUAUUUUUUGUCCAUUUCUUCUUAGUUUUACUAAUAAUUAUUCAUCAUUUAAUUUGUUCUAAAUCAAUAUAAUAAUUAAAUGUUAAAACUCAUAAAAUUGGUAAAUAAAAAUCACCAAAAAAAAAAUACAAAUGACAUUCACUAACUCUAUCCAUUUAAAACACUGCUUAGUUUUAAUUUUUGAAAAAAUUUACCAUAUGCAAAUUAAUCAAUAAAGGCCAUUUUUUGUAUAAUCUAAAAUAUUAUCCAUUUUACCUAAUAAAUGCACGAGACAUAAGCUAAAUCGCACGAAAGAAUUGUUGAAAUUUUGCCAAUUUUAUUGUGCAAUUCAAUAUAACUAUGCAUGCGCAGUUGAGUGAUGUUUUCAGGUUAGAUUUGGGUUUGUGAUUUGUUUUACUGCUGGAAAAUAAAUUCUAACAUUUCUAAACAUAUUGUCCUAAUGAUUGAUUACAAAUUUGUAAAAGAAAAAUGAAAUAGAAAAGGAAUUGGAA